This 651-nucleotide ribosomal RNA is filed under the name Triticum aestivum (bread wheat). RNAcentral's name for it is "partial small subunit ribosomal RNA". The record is from RNAcentral. Lineage: Eukaryota; Viridiplantae; Streptophyta; Magnoliopsida; Poales; Poaceae.
AUGCUCCCAAGAUUUCAGUUUUCAAAGACAAACAGGACACAUAUAAAUGAGUUCGAUUUGAAGAGUAAUCGCAAGCCACCUCUAAGCCUUCUGGUUGUAGACGUAGGUGAGGCCGCACUUGCCGCAGUAAUGACGAUCGAAGUGGUUGGCCAUGAAGGUCCCGGCACCGCACUCCGCGUUGGGGCACUCCUUCCUGAGCCUGGUUACCUUGCCGGUGGCGUCGUCGACCUUGUAGAACUGGAGGACGGCGAGCUUCACCUUCUUGUGCUUGUGCUUUUGCUUCUUGGGCUUGGUGUACGUCUUCUUCUUGCGCUUCUUGGCGCCACCACGGAGGCGGAGCACCAGGUGAAGGGUGGACUCCUUCUGGAUGUUGUAGUCGGCGAGGGUGCGGCCGUCCUCGAGCUGCUUGCCGGCGAAGAUGAGGCGCUGCUGGUCCGGCGGGAUCCCCUCCUUGUCCUGGAUCUUGGCCUUCACGUUGUCGAUGGUGUCCGAGGACUCCACCUCCAGCGUGAUGGUCUUGCCCGUCAGGGUCUUCACGAAGAUCUGCAUCUUGGCGGCGGUGGGGUGGUCGCCUCCGCGCGCUGCGGCGGCGACGGCAGUGGCGGCGGCGGGUUGGGUUUGGGCGCGGCGGCGGGGUGGAAUGGAGGCUAG